UUCCUUUUUAAAAUAUCAAAAAUCAACCUUAAUCCCCAUUCUCUCAAAAUCAGCCGCCUCCUUCUCCUCUCCCUUCUUUCUACCUUCUGUCUCUCUAAACCAAUAAAAACCGCCGUCGUCCCCCGUCACCGACGAACCAGCCCCCAUCGAACCAGGCCUCUGUUGCUGACGCCGGCGUACAGAAACAACCCCUACCGCCGGCGAAUACCACCGGCUGCCGUCACCAUCUCCAACAGCUGCCUUCCACCAGAGAAGCAACCGUUCUGCCGCCGCCUUAUCAUGUUCUCAAUCUCAAGCCGCGACCAGCAACAGUACCGCACCGCCACUCCUCGACGCCCUCUCCCUCUUCUAUUAUCUUCUCCACUGGCGAAAUCCCUUAAAACAGCGACACUAACGGCCGUAGCCCGCUCCAGCCGCGGCCACCACCGCUAUUAUCAGUGAAAUAUCGUUGGAAAUUCUUAAAUGCAUGACAGAUUUACGAAAUCCGUCCCAGGACAAGGAGGAGAACAAAGUGCACAUAGAUCUUAUUCCUAUCUCACGCAGAUAAAGAGGUGGUUUUUGAAAGAUCUCGAAUCAGGUAAAGUUGAGUUUGAGUAGUUGUCUCAAAACUAUUUGUAAUGAUAAUAACUUGGUGGCUUUUUCCACUUAUCCCUGAGAUAGAUAAUGCUUCCCAAAAUCACAAAAUUGACCAAUGUAACGGAGAAGCUACUAGCAUCUCCACAAAAUUGCACGAAGAAAAUCUUAUGUUUGAACAUGCCUCACAUCAAGUUUCAGAAGUUCCAAUAUAAAUCAAAAUGGAAAAGAAGGUUUUCCAAACUAGCAAUAUGAAUCUAUGCAAUAUGAAUUCAGAUCAGAAUCCUAAGGAUAUUUGAAAAAAGGAGCAAAAUUGUUGAGUCUAUUGCGAAAGAGGUAGUCUAUCUGUUCAAUGUCCGAGCCCCUGCAGACAUUCAAGUAUAUAUAUAGCAGCGGGAGGAUUAGGUUUGUUUUAUUUUCUAUCCUUUAGUUUUAAUGUAUCGAUGUAGAAUGCAUUUAGUGUUAUGAAUGUUACAAAACUCUACUUUGGUGAGUAUCGAUAAAGGGGUACAAUUGAAAAAUAAUGCUACUUCCUUCGUAAUUGUUAUAUUUUACUUUUUGAAAGUCAAUUUAAUUUAUUUUUAUAACUAAACUAUGGUUAUUUUGAUAUUCUAGAAUCAAAAUUUAGAUAUCCAAAUACAUUUCGGAAACUACUAUAAGUUGUAAUUUUUCUCUAAUCAAUAUAAAUUGUUGAAUUCUUUUCACCUAAAAAUGCUAGAUUGAAAAAUAAGUUUUCUGCAUAUAUAUAAAUUGUUGAAUUAUUUACGCAUGCAUAAGAUUUCUUGUUAUUUUUUUAAUUAGAAUUUCUAGCUGCACUACUAAAUCUAAUUGUAGACCAAUAUGCCAAUAUAUUUUAGCAACAUUAAAUUGGAAUUUUGUAAAAAAAAAAGAAAAGAAAAAAUCAGUCUUUAGGACGACUAAAUACUUAAUUGGCAUCGAAUAUGAUUAUCAAUA
Molecule: long non-coding RNA, 1527 nt
Organism: Capsicum annuum
Lineage: Eukaryota; Viridiplantae; Streptophyta; Magnoliopsida; Solanales; Solanaceae
Exons: 2
Source: RefSeq, a predicted model, not a curated record